Long non-coding RNA from Solanum dulcamara, 784 nucleotides. RefSeq lists it as uncharacterized. The record is from RefSeq and is a predicted model, not a curated record. The transcript is spliced from 3 exons. NCBI's taxonomy places the organism in Eukaryota, Viridiplantae, Streptophyta, Magnoliopsida, Solanales, Solanaceae.
AUUAAACGUCUGUCUAUUAAUUUUCUCCAAGGAAAAAAAAUGUAGAUGAAAAACCUGCGUAGCUUCUUCCUCCAAACUUCACACUUAGCUUUCGAUCGAGAUGAUUUCACAAUAAGGGUUACUUUGUAGAAUGUGGGAUGCCAUUAAUCCCAAAAAAAUGACGAGCUGAUCAACGUAGAUAUGAUAUUUAUUGAUGAAAAGAUGUGGUUGGUUGUUUAUAUGGAGAGUGCCGGUCUGAAUUGGAGAAAGAGGGACAUCCACAUUCUUACAGAUUAGUAAUUUUACUCAUCUUAUUUCAUUUGACCUUAUAUUAUACUUAUUUGGUUUACACCAUUUCUCUACAAUAGACAAUAAACAUUCUGAAUGUCCAAUUCAUGUAUUUUACUGGCAAAUUGCAGAAAAUAAAAUAUGAAGUAAACGAAGAAUUUCCUUGGAUUACUCUAUAAGAGGUCAAGGGAGAAGACAAACUAUGCCAUCUUGUGCGGAGAAGAUGAGUAACCUAAAAAGCAGAUUGUUUUCCGUCAUUGUGGUACUCUUCCUAGCUGGUCUAACGGAGGAGAACUAACAACCUGCACCAGCAAGAAAAGCAAAUUCUUUCUGCAACCAUUAUAUUGCCCUGCAGAAUACCCAUCAAAAUCUCCAAGUGACCCGAAGGCUAAACCAGUAUGCUCUACAUAAACAAUCAUCCAUGUAAUUCUUCUCAUGAUCAUGCUUUAUGUUUUAGUAUCCAACUAUUGAAUUGUUACAUCCAACAAUAUUAUAUACGUUUAUAGAUGUUUUCUUG